ACGCACGUGUGAAACUUGAAGGAAUUGACGGAAGGGCCCCACAAGAACGCGUGGAGCAUGUGGCUUAAUUUGACUCAACGCGGGAAAUCUUACCGGGUCCGGACACACUGAGGAUUGACAGGCAAUCAUGUGAAUUGCUGUUUUUCUAGCUUGCUAGAAAUUAGGCAUUCACAUCUAAAUAUGCUAGUCCUUUCAUGAUUAUGUGAUAGGUGGUGCAUGGCCGUUCUUAGUUCGUGGAGUGAUCUGUCUGCUUAAAUGCGUUUCGCACUGGACUUGAUAAUCAAGUGUGCUAUUUUUCUUGUACCUCUGUACACGUUUUGCGCGUUAUAAAGUUUAGAUGUUUACCCCAGUUGCUUAUUUUUAGUUGGCGCUCGCUGCAAUUUAUUGUGGCUUGAGCUAGCUUUUCUUAGGCGGCUGCGCGCGUAUCGUUUUUACAAGUGUUAAUUCAGUACUUGGUGCGAUUUGGAAAGGUAUGUGCACAUUGGGUCCUGAAAGCAACGAACGUGACCG
This 510-nucleotide ribosomal RNA is filed under the name Foraminifera environmental sample. Its description in RNAcentral is "partial small subunit ribosomal RNA". It matches the Rfam family "Eukaryotic small subunit ribosomal RNA", at positions 1129 to 1458 of the family's 1831-position model. The record is from RNAcentral. Lineage: Eukaryota; Foraminifera.